RNAcentral lists this ribosomal RNA (744 nucleotides) under Anopheles eiseni. Its description in RNAcentral is "bacterial SSU rRNA". It matches the Rfam family "Eukaryotic small subunit ribosomal RNA", at positions 614 to 1297 of the family's 1831-position model. The record is from RNAcentral. Lineage: Eukaryota; Metazoa; Arthropoda; Insecta; Diptera; Culicidae.
UGCGGUUAAAACGUUCGAAGUUGAUUCUUGUCCAACUCAGACCGACACUACUGGCCCGGCGCAUGCCGGUGUCCGGUGGGUUCGUUCGGUAUCUGGUUGCGACUCAAAUGGUGCGGCUGGGCAGACCACUGUGGCAUGAAUGCUCUUAACCGAGUGGACGUGAACCUACAGUGCUCGGCCGCUCACAUUUACCUUGAACAAAUUAGAGUGCUUCAAGCAGGCUACUUAGAAAGGCCGAGUAUAAUCUUGCAUGGAAUAAUGGAAUAUGACCUUGGUCUAAACGUUUCGUUGGUUUGUAAAUCAGACGCAAAGGUAAUGAUUAACAGAAGUAGUUGGGGGCAUUAGUAUUACGGCGCGAGAGGUGAAAUUCGUAGACCGUCGUAAGACUCACUAAAGCGAAAGCAUCUGCCAUGGAUACUUUCAUUAAUCAAGAACGAAAGUUAGAGUAUCGAAGGCGAUUAGAUACCGCCCUAGUUCUAACCGUAAACGAUGCCAAUUAGCAAAUGGGAGACGCUACAACCUUGGUGCUCUCAGUGGCUUUCGGGAAACCAAAAUAAGGUUCCGGGGGAAGUAUGGUUGCAAAGUUGAAACUUAAAGGAAUUGAUGGAGAGGCACACCAGUGGUGGAGCUUGCGGCUUAAUUUGACUCAACACGGGAAAACUUACCAGGUCCGAACUUAUAGAGGUAAGACAGAUUAAUAGCUCUUUCUCAAACUUAAGGGUAGUGGUGCAUGGCCGUUCUUAG